This 1372-nucleotide ribosomal RNA is filed under the name uncultured bacterium. Its description in RNAcentral is "bacterial SSU rRNA". It matches the Rfam family "Bacterial small subunit ribosomal RNA", at positions 28 to 1381 of the family's 1533-position model. The record is from RNAcentral.
GAUGAACGCUGGCGGCGUGCCUAAUACAUGCAAGUCGAGCGAACGGACGAGAAGCUUGCUUCUCUGAUGUUAGCGGCGGACGGGUGAGUAACACGUGGAUAACCUACCUAUAAGACUGGGAUAACUUCGGGAAACCGGAGCUAAUACCGGAUAAUAUUUUGAACCGCAUGGUUCAAAAGUAAAAGACGGUCUUGCUGUCACUUAUAGAUGGAUCCGCGCUGCAUUAGCUAGUUGGUAAGGUAACGGCUUACCAAGGCAACGAUGCAUAGCCGACCUGAGAGGGUGAUCGGCCACACUGGAACUGAGACACGGUCCAGACUCCUACGGGAGGCAGCAGUAGGGAAUCUUCCGCAAUGGGCGAAAGCCUGACGGAGCAACGCCGCGUGAGUGAUGAAGGUCUUCGGAUCGUAAAACUCUGUUAUUAGGGAAGAAUAUAUGUGUAAGUAACUGUGCACAUCUUGACGGUACCUAAUCAGAAAGCCACGGCUAACUACGUGCCAGCAGCCGCGGUAAUACGUAGGUGGCAAGCGUUAUCCGGAAUUAUUGGGCGUAAAGCGCGCGUAGGCGGUUUUUUAAGUCUGAUGUGAAAGCCCACGGCUCAACCGUGGAGGGUCAUUGGAAACUGGAAAACUUGAGUGCAGAAGAGGAAAGUGGCAUUCCAUGUGUAGCGGUGAAAUGCGCAGAGAUAUGGAGGAACACCAGUGGCGAAGGCGACUUUCUGGUCUGUAACUGACGCUGAUGUGCGAAAGCGUGGGGAUCAAACAGGAUUAGAUACCCUGGUAGUCCACGCCGUAAACGAUGAGUGCUAAGUGUUAGGGGGUUUCCGCCCCUUAGUGCUGCAGCUAACGCAUUAAGCACUCCGCCUGGGGAGUACGACCGCAAGGUUGAAACUCAAAGGAAUUGACGGGGACCCGCACAAGCGGUGGAGCAUGUGGUUUAAUUCGAAGCAACGCGAAGAACCUUACCAAAUCUUGACAUCCUUUGACAACUCUAGAGAUAGAGCCUUCCCCUUCGGGGGACAAAGUGACAGGUGGUGCAUGGUUGUCGUCAGCUCGUGUCGUGAGAUGUUGGGUUAAGCCCCGCAACGAGCGCAACCCUUAAGCUUAGUUGCCAUCAUUAAGUUGGGCACUCUAAGUUGACUGCCGGUGACAAACCGGAGGAAGGUGGGGAUGACGUCAAAUCAUCAUGCCCCUUAUGAUUUGGGCUACACACGUGCUACAAUGGACAAUACAAAGGGCAGCGAAACCGCGAGGUCAAGCAAAUCCCAUAAAGUUGUUCUCAGUUCGGAUUGUAGUCUGCAACUCGACUACAUGAAGCUGGAAUCGCUAGUAAUCGUAGAUCAGCAUGCUACGGUGAAUACGUUCCCGGGUCU